AAAAUAAACAUUUGCAUUUUAUUACUUUCUAAUCGCACAAACUGAAAUCAGGAAAAACCUGAUUGGAUUUUUUACAACUUUAAAGGUGUAAGGAAUAGAGCGAUUUCGAGUUUGAGUCUCUUCAUUUUCCUAUUCUAAAGUUAUUCAACUUGAAAUAGAAAGCGAGCUAUCUUUUACUGUGUAACCCACCAAUUGUUACCAAGCCCAUUAUGCCUCCAUUGAAUCCCAAAAACAAACCCACUUGAAUUUUACAUGCAAUUUACAUAGCAACUGUAGCUGGAAAUUGAAUAUAAACAAAUUCAGGUCUCCACACCUUCACACAAAGAGAGGAGGAAAAGCCUAGGAAUAUCUUCAGUUUAAGAUACAGCACUUGCCCUGGUGCAGUCUUCAAACAACGCUACGUGCAUUCAUUCAAGCAAACAGCCUAAGACGGCUAGUAAUAGGCCGGCGGCAUAUGGGGCAAUUUGACACCCUUGAUGCGCAGUCUCUACAAGUCAUGUGUCCGCAACCGAAGGCCAAGUCCUUGCCAUUAGUCAGGCAAAUAGGGCAGGCCUGGGUUCUCUCAUCUACAACGGUGGAAGAUACAUUGCUCGAUUGAUGGUCUGGCAGUGGAUGACGAACGUAAGGAACUGGCGGAGGGCGUGCUACGAUUUUCUUCGCUCUUCCUGUAGUACAACCAAUUAUACCAAAUUCACGAGCUGCUAGGUACUGGAAGGGGAUCUCCAUUAGUGCAGCGAGAGCAAACUCUGUUUCUUUCUCAGAGGUAGUUGUAUUUUUGGACAUAAUUGCAGUGAAGUUAACAAACUAUACAUAAUAUGGAAAACAGGUAAAUAAAGGAACAAUAUAUGUAAAAUUGCAAGCAAAUUAGAUGGGGUUCAAAAUAAAGUUUCAUCAAAAUAGCAAUACCUGAAAAUUGUCAAAUUCACGCGCUGGGAUUUUGUCAUCAAAUUUCUUCAUGUCAUCCCAAGGUCCAUCACCAACCCCAACAAGAAUUAUCGACAGUGGGUAUGAACUAGAUGGAAAUAAAAGUUGCAAACAUAUUUAGGUCAAACAUGCAUAAACUCAAAUUGUAACAUCAUUUUAAAAUCUGAUGACUCGCUCAUCAAAUCCGAUUAUUCUGAGCAACAAAGAAGUCUAUUGAAGGAAAUAAAAAUCACGACAAGAGUAGCAUCAACUUGCAAUAAUUCAAUUUAUUUAAGGGGCACAGUCAUUGAAAGCCCAAGUUACCCUUCUUUUUUUUUGUAGUAUACGAUAUACCGCUUAUUUAAAUAAUUUUAUUUGCAUAUAAAUGAGUAAAAUAGGAAAAUCAACAUUCAUUUUACUUCAUUUUAACUAAUGGAAUUCAAAUAAAAUUCUAUAAUUUUAAAAUCUAUUCCAACCACGGCUUCUAUUAUAAAAUUAUUUGAAUUGAAUUCUAACAUAAGAGUUGUUUUAAACACAAUGUAUAUUAUUUCAUUAACCUUCCCCCCUCGAUACUCAUCCAUGGACUAUUAAACAUUUUUGUACCACAAAUAUAGUUAGUAUCAGUUGUUGACAGUACCAAGAAAUCAAAUAAAAACAAAUAGAUAAUCAAUAGGAACCUCAUGCCAAAUAUAUUUGUUUACAAUGCAUGAUAACUUGUAUUAUGUCACAUUUUUGGCAUCUGAUGAACAUUAUAUUGGCAGAGAUUGAUAAUCAUAGCAUGUGAAAACAUAGUUAUAAUAUGAAUUGCCAGAGUUAAUUAGCAACUACAGUGAAUGUGAUUAAAAAUUAUCUUGCUGCUGCAAGCAAUGGCUUUUUAAAAUACUCAAUUGUGAUAGUUUAGUAAGAAUAUUUUCAUUCUUGGAACCAUAAGCAAUUUUAAAUGUUGUUUUUUUAACUAACUGAAGCUAUAUUCUGCAGCUAAGGUAUAUAUUCGACAAAAUAUGUCUAUGUACAAGGCUGAACCUAGCAUCCACAAUUGACUGGAUUGUUUUCUCUUCCUGUGGGCUUAGCUCCCCAGCACCUGUAUUGACACUUCUUGUAACCUUCACAAUUAAAAAAAGAUCAUGUUGAAUAUACAUAAUGUGAGAGAGAGUGAGAAGAGAGGGCAAGUGACUAAAUGAGCUAGCUUUGGAUUGAAACCUGGCCAUCUGCUAUGAUAACCAACACAUGGUAUUGGCCUCCGCUUCUUUCCACAAUGUCCAUCGCAGCCUCAAUCACCGGUGCAUAAGAAGUUGGCCCUUAACACAAUUACAUUUAUCUGUGAAUCUGUGAAAUAAGCAUGCAGGACUCACAAAAAAUUAUAAACACAAUGUUUAAUAAGAGUUUUUAAUUAAAAACCAAUGUAUUGUUAGUUUUCUUGGUUGAGUAUUGUGUGUGUGUGUGUGUGCGUGUAUUGGAUGAAUUAUGCUUGUAAUAAAAGAAUCUUACAGAAGGUUAGAGAUAAAUUGGAUUAGGAAAAUAAUAGCAAAGAUAGACGAGAACUAAUAAUUACUUUUUAAGACAUUAAGGAGAAGGAAAAUCUUGUGAUUGCCUCCUAUCACCAGUGGAUUUGUAACAUUAACUGUAAUGCAACAAUCCCAGAUUGCAUAUAAGCAUUUGGACAGUCCAUUAGUUGGGGAGAUAAAUGCUCAAUUGCUCAAUUUAACCCUUUAGCUAUGACUCAAAAGUUAAAGUUAUUUUGCUUAAAUUUGAUUCAUUUAAGCCAACUAUUUGAAAUUGAGUAAUUCAACCCUGUCAUUAACACCAGUAGUCUUUGCCACACAUGCGCAGUUAGAUUUUGGUAAUUAAACAUCUGACAAAUAAAAUUACCUUUUCUUUAUAUAUAGGAUAGCGACAAAAAAGUGAAGGGUCUUGUUUGAGAGAAGCCAGUAAAAACUUCUUUUUCAAGAAAUUUGGAUUUAUUAAAAUUUGAAACUUGAUGAGCGAAAAUUUUAAUUUUUUGUUUAAAUUUGACUCCUUUUGAGUUUUUUUUUUUAGGUCAAACGACAAUAACAAGGGAGUUGAUUUCAUCGGGGAAAAAAAGUACAACAAUGGAAAGCUAAAUCAGAAGCUCUCGAAGCAACAAAGACUGAAAAACAAAUCCUAACCCGGCAUAAUCUAAUAUUCAAUUAAAAUAUUUAAAAAAAGCAUGAAAUUAACUAUCCAAGAUAUAGAGAGAUGUAUUGAAAAGGUCCCAAUUUUUCACACACUAUACAUAUAGAUCAUGAUCCAUAGAUGUUUAAGUCCAUUUCCAUUCUUCUGUUUUCAACAAAAACAAAAUAUAGCAUUUAUCCUAUAUUGUUGUGUCCUAAAAGUAUGUUACCAGCAAUCUUAGCCAACUAUCACUUUAAAGAGUGUGUUAUAUGCCUUAAAAAGUCAAAAUCACAUUAAAGUUAUGCACUGUGUUAACAGGUUGUUGGCUACUAGCUUGUUCAGAGCAUUGCAAUCAACAAUCUACAUGAUCUAAUAUACUCUAUAGCAAGCUGUGGUGGUCUUAUAUGGUAAGUUUUGCCAUCCAAGCACUCGGGUAGAUUAAUAAGAAGGAAGUUUGUGUUGCUCAUGCAAAUUAAUUAGUACCUUCAUAUCCAAAAAUAGAUAUUUAACUAAACAAGAUUCAUACUUAAAUCUGGUCUAUCAUGGACUCAAGACACAAACAUAUGCAUGGCACUCACAUGUAAAAUAAGUGAAACCCACAUGUGAAACAAACUAUACAGUAUGUACGUAUUUGUUAUUCGCCCUACAGUUACUAACAAUUGCCAAAAGGCCCCAUAAAUAUCUAAAGGAACAGGAAACCAACCUGCAAGUCGUAAGUUGGGAACAAUCUUCUUGUAGCAGGCUAAAACUUCUUCAAACCCAUGGCAAGGAGAAUGAUCACUGUGAAAGCUAAAUACUUCUUGAUCAUGAGUGGUGGCAUCACCAAAGCCAAGACAGGGAAUUAAGUUAUCAUCAUCAAAGGGAGCCAAAGUCUUUCCAAUAAUUGAGAUGGCCUUUUCAUAUGGAUUAGGUGUAUCACCAAUGGCAUGCAGGCUACGAUUAUUGAACGAUACUUUC
RNAcentral lists this unclassified non-coding RNA (3993 nucleotides) under Hevea brasiliensis (rubber tree). The record is from RNAcentral. Lineage: Eukaryota; Viridiplantae; Streptophyta; Magnoliopsida; Malpighiales; Euphorbiaceae.